RNAcentral lists this ribosomal RNA (465 nucleotides) under Vreelandella stevensii. Its description in RNAcentral is "partial 16S ribosomal RNA". It matches the Rfam family "Bacterial small subunit ribosomal RNA", at positions 338 to 795 of the family's 1533-position model. Lineage: Bacteria; Pseudomonadati; Pseudomonadota; Gammaproteobacteria; Oceanospirillales; Halomonadaceae. The record is from RNAcentral.
CCUACGGGAGGCAGCAGUGGGGAAUAUUGGACAAUGGGGGGAACCCUGAUCCAGCCAUGCCGCGUGUGUGAAGAAGGCCCUCGGGUUGUAAAGCACUUUCAGUGAGGAAGAACGCCUGGUGGUUAAUACCCAUCAGGAAAGACAUCACUCACAGAAGAAACACCGGCUAACUCCGUGCCAGCAGCCGCGGUAAUACGGAGGGUGCGAGCGUUAAUCGGAAUUACUGGGCGUAAAGCGCGCGUAGGUGGCUUGAUAAGCCGGUUGUGAAAGCCCCGGGCUCAACCUGGGAACGGCAUCCGGAACUGUCAAGCUAGAGUGCAGGAGAGGAAGGUAGAAUUCCCGGUGUAGCGGUGAAAUGCGUAGAGAUCGGGAGGAAUACCAGUGGCGAAGGCGGCCUUCUGGACUGACACUGACACUGAGGUGCGAAAGCGUGGGUAGCAAACAGGAUUAGAUACCCCUGUAGUC